UACAUGGGGUGCAAACGUUGCUCGGAAUUAUUGGGCGUAAAGCGCGCGUAGGCGGUUACUUAAGUCGGAUGUGAAAGCCCUCGGCUUAACUGAGGAAGUGCACCCGAAACUGAGUAGCUGGAGUACGAAAGAGGGUCGCGGAAUUCCCGGUGUAGAGGUGAAAUUCGUAGAUAUCGGGAGGAACACCAGUGGCGAAGGCGACUACCUGGCCUGUUCUUGACGCUGAGGCGCGAAAGCUAGGGGAGCAAACGGG
RNAcentral lists this ribosomal RNA (253 nucleotides) under uncultured bacterium. Its description in RNAcentral is "partial 16S ribosomal RNA". It matches the Rfam family "Bacterial small subunit ribosomal RNA", at positions 524 to 776 of the family's 1533-position model. The record is from RNAcentral.